UGGAGAGUUUGAUCCUGGCUCAGAUUGAACGCUGGCGGCAGGUCCUAACACAUGCAAGUCGAGCGGAAACGAGUUAUCUGAACCUUCGGGGAACGAUAACGGCGUCGAGCGGCGGACGGGUGAGUAAUGCCUAGGAAAUUGCCCUGAUGUGGGGGAUAACCAUUGGAAACGAUGGCUAAUACCGCAUAAUACCUACGGGUCAAAGAGGGGGACCUUCGGGCCUCUCGCGUCAGGAUAUGCCUAGGUGGGAUUAGCUAGUUGGUGAGGUAAUGGCUCACCAAGGCGACGAUCCCUAGCUGGUCUGAGAGGAUGAUCAGCCACACUGGAACUGAGACACGGUCCAGACUCCUACGGGAGGCAGCAGUGGGGAAUAUUGCACAAUGGGCGCAAGCCUGAUGCAGCCAUGCCGCGUGUGUGAAGAAGGCCUUCGGGUUGUAAAGCACUUUCAGUCGUGAGGAAGGUAGUGUAGUUAAUAGCUGCAUUAUUUGACGUUAGCGACAGAAGAAGCACCGGCUAA
Molecule: ribosomal RNA, 517 nt
Filed under: Vibrio harveyi
Lineage: Bacteria; Pseudomonadati; Pseudomonadota; Gammaproteobacteria; Vibrionales; Vibrionaceae
Description: bacterial SSU rRNA
Rfam family: Bacterial small subunit ribosomal RNA
Source: RNAcentral